Molecule: long non-coding RNA, 1027 nt
Organism: Calypte anna (Anna's hummingbird)
Lineage: Eukaryota; Metazoa; Chordata; Aves; Apodiformes; Trochilidae
Exons: 3
Source: RefSeq, a predicted model, not a curated record
GGCAGCCUGGGGAGAGGGCUGGGGAGUGGGCAGUGGAGUUUUCCUCUGGAAAACCUCUGGAUCUCACUGCUUGUGGCCAGGGGAAGUGGUUUGGGCUGCCCUGCCAAGCUAUUCAGCUGCUCUGCAUCAGCACCAGUGGGCUUCUCAAGUGCUGCAGCAAGGCAGUGUCCCCCCAGCAAAGGUGAGGAUGUCUUCCCUCCUAGAUGUGUCUUCAUCCCUGAACACCUCUUGGUCUCCAUCUUCUUCUCCUGAGGAACACCACUGGCACUGGACUCGAUUAAGACCCCUGCAGGCAACCUGACAGGUCAAAGCCUCAUCACCAAAACAGCCUCAUCACCAAAACAGCCCCAUCUUUCUGCUCAUCACAAACGUCUGGAGGACAAGAGGCCACAUGAAACCCUCCUGCACAUGAAGCCCCGUGCCCAGGUGACUCCAGGUGAGCCCCAGACUCCAUUGCUGUUCUCAGGAGACAGUCACAUCUGGCACUGCUCCCCUGCAGCUGGAUUUACAGGCUCUCAAUGGUUUCCCACUUGCUCCACAGCUUGCCUGGUGGUAUCUUCAUUGGGACACUUAAGGAUGCAGUGGGGUGCUUGGCUGGGCCAGAGCUGGACCAGCCUGUGACUUCCAGAUGUCACCUCUUGUGCUGAAGCAUCAAAUGCCCAGGCUGCUUUCCACGAGCUGGAAAAGGGGGUGACCUCAUUUGCCCUGAAGAUGCAAGUGUGGCUGGCACGUUUUCCCACCUAUUUUUGUCUGCUCCUUGGAGCACACACAUAUCCUUGCUCUUAAACAAGUGCUGCUCUCCUCCUUGCAAACCCCAGGCUGGAUUUCUGCUCCUGGGAGGACGUGAAGGUCGCUAUGGAGCACCCCACCUAAAGGUGACAGAUCAGGACUGGGGGAAACGGGACUCUGUUGGGCUCUGCUGGUUUUGGGGUGAGUGCUGCAGCAUUUGCAGGAGGCUGACACUGAGCUGGAUGUAUAAACCUGGCCCGGGGCUUCCCUGGGGCUCCUGCUCUGUCUCCUCACAUUU